Molecule: ribosomal RNA, 253 nt
Filed under: uncultured bacterium
Lineage: Bacteria
Description: partial 16S ribosomal RNA
Rfam family: Bacterial small subunit ribosomal RNA
Source: RNAcentral
UACGUAGGUGGCAAGCGUUGUCCGGAUUUACUGGGCGUAAAGGGCAAGCAGGCGGACUGUUAAGUAGGAAGUGAAAGGUCGGAGCUCAACUCCAACAUUGCUUCCUAUACUGGCAGUCUUGAGUCUCGGAGAGGAAAGCGGAACGAUACGUGUAGCGGUGAAAUGCGUUGAUAUGUAUCGGAACACCAAUGGCGAAGGCAGCUUUCUGGACGAGAACUGACGCUCAUUUGCGAAAGCCGAGGUAGCGAACAGG